GCGGUGCUCUCCUUCUGCACUGUGUUCAACCAUUGUGUCAAUAAUAAGUGCUGCUGUGAAGAGAACAAUUCUCAGACUGAAUGUUGAACAUCAGCUAGUUUCUCCUGUUGAUUGAAACCUUGUUGUACAGAUGGAACAUUGGCUGUGGAUUAUUCUUGCUGCUCUUUUCUUUGAGUGUAAAGGAGAAGACAAAGUGAUCCAGGAACAAGGAGAUGUCACUGCUGCUGAAGGAGACACAGUUACACUUGGAUGUAGAUUUGAGACCAUCUCCACAAAUCCUACACUGAUCUGGUACAAACAAGAAGUGAACAGUUACCCAAAGUAUAUGCUGAAAUGUGUCUCAACAUCAGCAGUUAAAGCUGAGGAAUUCAACAACGACAGAUUUGAUGCUAAAAUCAACAAGAAAGAAAAUUCAGUUCCUCUGAAGAUCCAGAAGCUUCAGCUGUCUGACUCUGCUGUGUACCACUGUGCUCUGCAGCCCACAGUGACAGGAAACACCAAAACUCUGUACAAAAACCUUUGGAGCAAAGACAACAGAAUACUCCACAACAUCCACUAGAGGGAGCCACACACU
Non-coding RNA from Oreochromis niloticus (Nile tilapia), 574 nucleotides. Lineage: Eukaryota; Metazoa; Chordata; Actinopteri; Cichliformes; Cichlidae. The record is from the annotation of a RefSeq genome assembly.